GAUUAACGCUAGCGGCAGGCAUAAUACAUGCAAGUUGAACGGCAGCACAGGUAGCAAUACUGGGUGGCGAGUGGCGCACGGGUGCGUAACACGUAUGCAACCUACCCUAUACAGGCGAAUAACCUUUAGAAAUGAGGGCUAAUACGCCGUAGUAUUACAGAUGGGCAUCUAUUUGUAAUUAAAGAUUUAUCGGUAUAGGAUGGGCAUGCGUCCCAUUAGUUAGUUGGUAAGGUAACGGCUUACCAAGACGAUGAUGGGUAGGGGAUCUGAGAGGACUUACCCCCACACUGGUACUGAGACACGGACCAGACUCCUACGGGAGGCAGCAGUAAGGAAUAUUGGGCAAUGGCCGCGAGGCUGACCCAGCCAUGCCGCGUGCAGGAAGACGGCCUUAUGGGUUGUAAACUGCUUUUAUACGGGAAGAAUAGAGUGUACGCGUACAUUUAUGCAAGUAUCGUAUGAAUAAGCAUCGGCUAACUCCGUG
This 484-nucleotide ribosomal RNA is filed under the name uncultured bacterium. RNAcentral describes it as "partial 16S ribosomal RNA". It matches the Rfam family "Bacterial small subunit ribosomal RNA", at positions 28 to 507 of the family's 1533-position model. The record is from RNAcentral.